RNAcentral lists this ribosomal RNA (253 nucleotides) under uncultured bacterium. RNAcentral's name for it is "partial 16S ribosomal RNA". It matches the Rfam family "Bacterial small subunit ribosomal RNA", at positions 524 to 776 of the family's 1533-position model. The record is from RNAcentral.
UACGUAGGGGGCGAGCGUUGUCCGGAUUUAUUGGGCGUAAAGAGCGUGUAGGCGGCCAGGUAGGUCCGUUGUGAAAACUCGAGGCUCAACCUCGAGACGUCGGCGGAAACCCUCUGGCUAGAGUCCGGAAGAGGAGAGUGGAAUUCCUGGUGUAGCGGUAAAAUGCGCAGAUAUCAGGAAGAACACCCGUGGCGAAGGCGGCUCUCUGGGACGGUACUGACGCUGAGACGCGAAAGCGUGGGGAGCAAACAGG